Molecule: transfer RNA, 73 nt
Filed under: Escherichia coli O104:H4 str. 04-8351
Lineage: Bacteria; Pseudomonadati; Pseudomonadota; Gammaproteobacteria; Enterobacterales; Enterobacteriaceae
Description: tRNA-Lys
Rfam family: tRNA
About the family: Transfer RNA (tRNA) molecules are approximately 80 nucleotides in length. Their secondary structure includes four short double-helical elements and three loops (D, anti-codon, and T loops). Further hydrogen bonds mediate the characteristic L-shaped molecular structure. tRNAs have two regions of fundamental functional importance: the anti-codon, which is responsible for specific mRNA codon recognition, and the 3' end, to which the tRNAs corresponding amino acid is attached (by aminoacyl-tRNA synthetases). tRNAs cope with the degeneracy of the genetic code in two manners: having more than one tRNA (with a specific anti-codon) for a particular amino acid; and 'wobble' base-pairing, i.e. permitting non-standard base-pairing at the 3rd anti-codon position.
Source: RNAcentral
GGUCGUUAGCUCAGUUGGUAGAGCAGUUGACUUUUAAUCAAUUGGUCGCAGGUUCGAAUCCUGCACGCCACCA